UGACCACUUCCUGAUAGGGGAGUUAAGGCCACGGACAGCCGGGUCAAAUGCCGA
This 54-nucleotide small RNA is filed under the name Caldibacillus thermoamylovorans. RNAcentral describes it as "Bacillus thermoamylovorans Streptococcus sRNA SpF59 (ldcC RNA)". It matches the Rfam family "Streptococcus sRNA SpF59 (ldcC RNA)". Lineage: Bacteria; Bacillati; Bacillota; Bacilli; Caryophanales; Bacillaceae. The record is from Rfam by way of RNAcentral.